UACGUAGGGCGCAAGCGUUGUCCGGAAUUAUUGGGCGUAAAGAGCUCGUAGGCGGUCUGUCGCGUCUGCCGUGAAAACCCGAGGCUUAACCUCGGGCUGGCGGUGGAUACGGGCAGACUAGAGGUAGGUAGGGGAGAAUGGAAUUCUCGGUGUAGCAGUGAAAUGCGUAGAUAUCGAGAGGAACACCAGUGGCGAAGGCGAGUCCCUGGACAACACCUGACACUGAGGCACGAAAGCUAGGGGAGCAAACAGG
This 253-nucleotide ribosomal RNA is filed under the name uncultured bacterium. Its description in RNAcentral is "partial 16S ribosomal RNA". It matches the Rfam family "Bacterial small subunit ribosomal RNA", at positions 524 to 776 of the family's 1533-position model. The record is from RNAcentral.